RNAcentral lists this ribosomal RNA (501 nucleotides) under uncultured Plectonema sp. Its description in RNAcentral is "bacterial SSU rRNA". It matches the Rfam family "Bacterial small subunit ribosomal RNA", at positions 293 to 804 of the family's 1533-position model. The record is from RNAcentral. Lineage: Bacteria; Bacillati; Cyanobacteriota; Cyanophyceae; Oscillatoriales; Microcoleaceae.
UGAGAGGGAUGUUUCAGCCACACUGGGGANUGAGACACGGCCCAGANUCCUACGGGAGGCAGCAGUGGGGAAUUUUCCCGCAAUGGGCGGAAAGCCUGACGGAGCAACGCCGCGUGAGGGAGGAAUNCCUGUGGGUUGUAAACCUCUUUUCUCAGGGAAGAAGAUCUGACGGUACCUGAGGAAUCAGCAUCGGCUAACUCCGUGCCAGCAGCCGCGGUAAUACGGAGGAUGCAAGCGUUAUCCGGAUUUAUUGGGCGUAAAGCGUCCGUAGGUGGCUAUAUAAGUCCGCUGUCAAAGCCCACAGCUUAACUGUGGAUCGGCAGUGGAAACUAUAUAGCUUGAGUGCGGUAGGGGCAGAGGGAAUUCCCAGUGUANCGGUGAAAUGCGUAGAUAUUGGGAAGAACACCGGUGGCGAAAGCGCUCUNNUAGGCCGCAACUGACACUGAGGGACGAAAGCUAGGGGAGCGAAAGGGAUUAGAUACCCCUGUAGUCCUACCCCUG